AGAGUUUGAUCAUGGCUCAGAACGAACGCUGGCGGCAGGCCUAACACAUGCAAGUCGAGCGGGCAUCCUUCGGGAUGUUAGCGGCGGACGGGUGAGUAACGCGUGGGAACGUGCCCUUUGCUACGGAAUAGCCUCGGGAAACUGAGAGUAAUACCGUAUGUGCCCUUCGGGGGAAAGAUUUAUCGGCAAAGGAUCGGCCCGCGUUGGAUUAGGUAGUUGGUGGGGUAAUGGCCUACCAAGCCGACGAUCCAUAGCUGGUUUGAGAGGAUGAUCAGCCACACUGGGACUGAGACACGGCCCAGACUCCUACGGGAGGCAGUAGUGGGGAAUCUUAGACAAUGGGGGAAACCCUGAUCUAGCCAUGCCGCGUGAGCGAUGAAGGCCUUAGGGUUGUAAAGCUCUUUCAGUGGGGAAGAUAAUGACGGUACCCACAGAAGAAGCCCCGGCUAACUCCGUGCCAGCAGCCGCGGUAAUACGGAGGGGGCUAGCGUUGUUCGGAAUUACUGGGCGUAAAGCGCACGUAGGCGGAUUGGAAAGUCAGAGGUGAAAUCCCAGGGCUCAACCUUGGAACUGCCUUUGAAACUCCCAGUCUUGAGGUCGAGAGAGGUGAGUGGAAUUCCGAGUGUAGAGGUGAAAUUCGUAGAUAUUCGGAGGAACACCAGUGGCGAAGGC
This 672-nucleotide ribosomal RNA is filed under the name uncultured bacterium. RNAcentral's name for it is "bacterial SSU rRNA". It matches the Rfam family "Bacterial small subunit ribosomal RNA", at positions 8 to 722 of the family's 1533-position model. The record is from RNAcentral.